AGAGUUUGAUCCUGGCUCAGAACGAACGCUGGCGGCGUGCCUAACACAUGCAAGUCGAACGGAGUUAGUUGGUAGCACUGAGCUAUCAGCCUUCAGCAAUCAGCAGAGAAGGACUUUGGUCUUUUAUGCUUAAAGCUGUUAGCUGACAGCUGAGAGCUAUCAGCUAACUUAGUGGCGGACGGGUGAGUAACACGUAGGUAACCAACCCUCAAGCGGGGGACAACUCUUCGAAAGGAGAGCUAAUACCGCAUAAGCUCACGGACUGGGAUGUUUGUGAGAAAAGGAGCAAUUCACUUGAGGAUGGGCCUGCGGCCUAUCAGGUAGUUGGCGGGGUAACGGCCCACCAAGCCAAAGACGGGUAGCCGGACUGAGAGGUUGAACGGCCACACUGGAACUGAGACACGGUCCAGACUCCUACGGGAGGCAGCAGUGGGGAAUUUUGCGCAAUGGGGGAAACCCUGACGCAGCGACGCCGCGUGGAGGAUGAAGGUCUUCGGAUUGUAAACUCCUUUUGUCGGGGAAGAUAAUGACGGUACCCGAUGAAUAAGCCACGGCUAACUCUGUGCCAGCAGCCGCGGUAAGACAGAGGUGGCAAGCGUUGUUCGGAAUUACUGGGCUUAAAGGGCGCGUAGGCGGUGGAGUAAGUCUGAGGUGGAAGAUUAGGGCUUAACCCUAAAACUGCCUUGGAAACUGCAUCACUUGAGUAAGCGAGGGGAUGGC
This 720-nucleotide ribosomal RNA is filed under the name uncultured Nitrospirota bacterium. RNAcentral's name for it is "bacterial SSU rRNA". It matches the Rfam family "Bacterial small subunit ribosomal RNA", at positions 8 to 662 of the family's 1533-position model. Lineage: Bacteria; Pseudomonadati; Nitrospirota. The record is from RNAcentral.